GUGCGGUUUUUAGUUGCGGGAGUAGGAAUACUGAAACCUACUCUACCUUCUUGCCAUCUCUAGGAUCCUAUAAGAUAGUAUUCAUGUAGCAGAGGACUUAGCAUACAGAGGAAACCAGGUUCCAGAAAAAGCCAUUUGCAAAUGGAUUUGAGAAGUGCUGAGAAAAGGAGGAAUCUACUGCUAUGCCUUUUAUUGGAAAGAUCAUCUAUCCAUAUUUUGACAUAUUAG
Molecule: non-coding RNA, 228 nt
Organism: Lupinus albus (white lupine)
Lineage: Eukaryota; Viridiplantae; Streptophyta; Magnoliopsida; Fabales; Fabaceae
Source: the annotation of a GenBank genome assembly